ACGAAUUUAUGAUUGAAGUUGUAGCUGGCCGCAAGGCAUGUGCACGCUUCUUUCGCAAAUCCACACACACCUGUGCACCUUCGCGUGGGCUUUCCUGGCAGCUAGGGGGAGUUGAUCCCUCUGUUACCGGAUUGCUUGCGUCUUUUUUUCAUAAACUCUUGCAUGUCUUUUAGAAUGGUAUACUUCGAUGUAAUAAAAACGCAUCUAAAUA
RNAcentral lists this unclassified non-coding RNA (211 nucleotides) under uncultured fungus. RNAcentral describes it as "sequence contains ITS1, 5.8S rRNA gene". The record is from RNAcentral. Lineage: Eukaryota; Fungi.